AGAGUUUGAUCAUGGCUCAGAUUGAACGCUGGCGGCAUGCCUUACACAUGCAAGUCGAACGGCAGCACGGGGGCAACCCUGGUGGCGAGUGGCGAACGGGUGAGUAAUACAUCGGAACGUGUCCUGGAGUGGGGGAUAGCCCGGCGAAAGCCGGAUUAAUACCGCAUACGCUCUGAGGAGGAAAGGGGGGGAUCUUUCGGGACCUCUCGCUCAAGGGGCGGCCGAUGGCAGAUUAGCUAGUUGGUGGGGUAAAGGCCUACCAAGGCGACGAUCUGUAGCUGGUCUGAGAGGACGACCAGCCACACUGGGACUGAGACACGGCCCAGACUCCUACGGGAGGCAGCAGUGGGGAAUUUUGGACAAUGGGCGCAAGCCUGAUCCAGCAAUGCCGCGUGUGUGAAGAAGGCCUUCGGGUUGUAAAGCACUUUUGUCCGGAAAGAAAACCUCUUGGUUAAUACCUGAGGGGGAUGACGGUACUGGAAGAAUAAGCACCGGCUAACUACGUGCCAGCAGCCGCGGUAAUACGUAGGGUGCAAGCGUUAAUCGGAAUUACUGGGCGUAAAGCGUGCGCAGGCGGUUCGCUAAGACAGAUGUGAAAUCCCCGGGCUUAACCUGGGAACUGCAUUUGUGACUGGCGGGCUAGAGUAUGGCAGAGGGGGGUAGAAUUCCACGUGUAGCAGUGAAAUGCGUAGAGAUGUGGAGGAAUACCGAUGGCGAAGGCAGCCCCCUGGGCCAAUACUGACGCUCAUGCACGAAAGCGUGGGGAGCAAACAGGAUUAGAUACCCUUGUAGUCC
Molecule: ribosomal RNA, 795 nt
Filed under: uncultured bacterium
Lineage: Bacteria
Description: bacterial SSU rRNA
Rfam family: Bacterial small subunit ribosomal RNA
Source: RNAcentral